CCUACGGGUGGCAGCAGUGGGGAAUUUUGGACAAUGGGCGCAAGCCUGAUCCAGCCAUUCCGCGUGAGUGAAGAAGGCCUUCGGGUUGUAAAGCUCUUUCGCAAGGGAAGAAAACUUAUCUUCUAACAUAGGAUGAGGUUGACGGUACCUUGAUAAGAAGCACCGGCUAACUACGUGCCAGCAGCCGCGGUAAUACGUAGGGUGCGAGCGUUAGUAGGAAUUACUGGGCGUAAAGUGUGAGCCAGCUGUGAACGCCCCGAGCUCAACGUGGGAACGGCGUUUGAAACUACAAGACUAGAAUAGGUCAGAGGGGAGUAGAAUUCCACGUGUAGCAGUGAAAUGCGUAGAGAUGUGGAGGAAUAUCAAUGGCGAAGGCAGCCCCCUGGGAUCAUAUUGACGCUCAUGCACGAAAGCGUGGGGAGCAAACAGGAUUAGAUACCCGAGUAGUC
This 449-nucleotide ribosomal RNA is filed under the name uncultured bacterium. RNAcentral describes it as "partial 16S ribosomal RNA". It matches the Rfam family "Bacterial small subunit ribosomal RNA", at positions 338 to 795 of the family's 1533-position model. The record is from RNAcentral.